AUGGCGAAAUAUUUUUGGAGCAGCUCUAUUGACAAGAAUGCAUUGCAUUGGGUUUCCUGGGAUAAUCUGGCGACACCAAAGUGCAAAGGAGGAAUGGGUUUUCAGGACCCUCAUAAGUUUAAUCUUGUGCUGCUCGGGAAGCGCGGUUGGCAGUUUAUGACUAACCCUACUUCUCUGUGUGCAAGGGUUCUUAAGGGUUGCUACAUCCCUGAUACAGAUUUUAUGCAUGCCACGGUGCCUAAGUCGUCAUCCGCUACAUGGCGAGCUAUCAUUGCCGGAAGGGAAGCUUUGCGUGCGGGACUCAUUAAGAGAGUAGGAGAUGGGAACUCCAUCGAUGUGUGGGCUGAUAAAUGGAUUCCCGGGACCAUCUCGAUGACACCGCUGCUGAAGCCACCGAACACCACUGUUCGGAUAGUCUCGGAUCUUAUAGAUCCCGAGAACUGGUCAUGGAGGCAGGAGUUGAUUCGAACCACCUUCAUUGCCCCUGAUGCUGACGCCAUUCUAAACACCCAAUCAGGAGGGGCGGAGGUGAGGAUUUCUAUGCUUGGGCCUUUGAAAGAUCAGGCAACUACACUGUUAAGUCGGCGUACCGUGCUCUAG
RNAcentral lists this ribosomal RNA (600 nucleotides) under Triticum aestivum (bread wheat). RNAcentral describes it as "partial small subunit ribosomal RNA". The record is from RNAcentral. Lineage: Eukaryota; Viridiplantae; Streptophyta; Magnoliopsida; Poales; Poaceae.